CCGAACCGACUAAUGUUGAAAAAUUAGCGGAUGACCUGUGGCUGGGGGUGAAAGGCCAAUCAAACCGGGAGAUAGCUGGUUCUCCCCGAAAGCUAUUUAGGUAGCGCCUCGUGAAUUCAUCUCCGGGGGUAGAGCACUGUUUCGGCUAGGGGGCCAUCCCGGCUUACCAACCCGAUGCAAACUGCGAAUACCGGAGAAUGUUAUCACGGGAGACACACGGCGGGUGCUAACGUCCGUCGUGAAGAGGGAAACAACCCAGACCGCCAGCUAAGGUCCCAAAGUCAUGGUUAAGUGGGAAACGAUGUGGGAAGGCCCAGACAGCCAGGAUGUUGGCUUAGAAGCAGCCAUCAUUUAAAGAAAGCGUAAUAGCUCACUGGUCGAGUCGGCCUGCGCGGAAGAUGUAACGGGGCUAAACCAUGCACCGAAGCUGCGGCAGCGACACUGUGUGUUGUUGGGUAGGGGAGCGUUCUGUAAGCCUGUGAAGGUGUGUCGUGAGGCAUGCUGGAGGUAUCAGAAGUGCGAAUGCUGACAUAAGUAACGAUAAAGCGGGUGAAAAGCCCGCUCGCCGGAAGACCAAGGGUUCCUGUCCAACGUUAAUCGGGGCAGGGUGAGUCGACCCCUAAGGCGAGGCCGAAAGGCGUAGUCGAUGGGAAACGGGUUAAUAUUCCCGUACUUGGUGUUACUGCGAAGGGGGGACGGAGAAGGCUAUGUUGGCCGGGCGACGGUUGUCCCGGUUUAAGCGUGUAGGUGUGUGUUCCAGGUAAAUCCGGUUCACUUUAACACUGAGGCGUGACGACGAGGCACUACGGUGCUGAAGCAACAAAUGCCCUGCUUCCAGGAAAAGCCUCUAAGCAUCAGGUAACAUCAAAUCGUACCCCAAACCGACACAGGUGGUCAGGUAGAGAAUACCAAGGCGCUUGAGAGAACUCGGGUGAAGGAACUAGGCAAAAUGGUGCCGUAACUUCGGGAGAAGGCACGCUGACACGUAGGUGAAGUGAUUUACUCAUGGAGCUGAAGUCAGUCGAAGAUACCAGCUGGCUGCAACUGUUUAUUAAAAACACAGCACUGUGCAAACACGAAAGUGGACGUAUACGGUGUGACGCCUGCCCGGUGCCGGAAGGUUAAUUGAUGGGGUCAGCGCAAGCGAAGCUCCUGAUCGAAGCCCCGGUAAACGGCGGCCGUAACUAUAACGGUCCUAAGGUAGCGAAAUUCCUUGUCGGGUAAGUUCCGACCUGCACGAAUGGCGUAAUGAUGGCCAGGCUGUCUCCACCCGAGACUCAGUGAAAUUGAACUCGCUGUGAAGAUGCAGUGUACCCGCGGCAAGACGGAAAGACCCCGUGAACCUUUACUAUAGCUUGACACUGAACAUUGAGCCUUGAUGUGUAGGAUAGGUGGGAGGCUUUGAAGUGUGGACGCCAGUCUGCAUGGAGCCGACCUUGAAAUACCACCCUUUAAUGUUUGAUGUUCUAACGUGGACCCGUUACCCGGGUUGCGGACAGUGUCUGGUGGGUAGUUUGACUGGGGCGGUCUCCUCCUAAAGAGUAACGGAGGAGCACGAAGGUUGGCUAAUCCUGGUCGGACAUCAGGAGGUUAGUGCAAUGGCAUAAGCCAGCUUGACUGCGAGCGUGACGGCGCGAGCAGGUGCGAAAGCAGGUCAUAGUGAUCCGGUGGUUCUGAAUGGAAGGGCCAUCGCUCAACGGAUAAAAGGUACUCCGGGGAUAACAGGCUGAUACCGCCCAAGAGUUCAUAUCGACGGCGGUGUUUGGCACCUCGAUGUCGGCUCAUCACAUCCUGGGGCUGAAGUAGGUCCCAAGGGUAUGGCUGUUCGCCAUUUAAAGUGGUACGCGAGCUGGGUUUAGAACGUCGUGAGACAGUUCGGUCCCUAUCUGCCGUGGGCGCUGGAGAACUGAGGGGGGCUGCUCCUAGUACGAGAGGACCGGAGUGGACGCAUCACUGGUGUUCGGGUUGUCAUGCCAAUGGCACUGCCCGGUAGCUAAAUGCGGAAGAGAUAAGUGCUGAAAGCAUCUAAGCACGAAACUUGCCCCGAGAUGAGUUCUCCCUGAGACUUAGAGUCUCCUGAAGGAACGUUGAAGACGACGACGUUGAUAGGCCGGGUGUGUA
RNAcentral lists this ribosomal RNA (2121 nucleotides) under Salmonella enterica subsp. enterica serovar Enteritidis. RNAcentral describes it as "partial 23S ribosomal RNA". It matches the Rfam family "Bacterial large subunit ribosomal RNA", at positions 774 to 2871 of the family's 2925-position model. Lineage: Bacteria; Pseudomonadati; Pseudomonadota; Gammaproteobacteria; Enterobacterales; Enterobacteriaceae. The record is from RNAcentral.